RNAcentral lists this ribosomal RNA (68 nucleotides) under Onchocerca volvulus. RNAcentral's name for it is "partial 28S ribosomal RNA". It matches the Rfam family "Eukaryotic large subunit ribosomal RNA", at positions 1 to 68 of the family's 3401-position model. The record is from RNAcentral. Lineage: Eukaryota; Metazoa; Nematoda; Chromadorea; Rhabditida; Onchocercidae.
UGACCUCAACUCGGUCGUGAUUACCCGCUGAAUUUAAGCAUAUAACUAAGCGGAGGAAAAGAAACUAA